GGAGCAUAGCUCAUCGAAAGAUGGGGUAAUUCUCCAUAGUCUCGUAAGAGUAAAGAUCUUAACUGAUCGUUGAAGGAUGAGCCUGCGUCCUAUCAGCUAGUUGGUGGGGUAAUGGCCUACCAAGGCUUUGACGGGUAGCUGGACUGAGAGGUCGAUCAGCCACAACUGCACUUAGACACGGGCAGUACACCUACGGGUGGCAGCAACCAGGAAUAUUGGGCAAUGGGCGAAAGCCUGACCCAGCGACGCCGCGUGGAGGAUGAAGGCCUUAGGGUCGUAAACUCCUUUUGAUAGUCCCUUCACGGACUAUAGAAUAAGCCUCUACUAACUACGUGCCAGAAGUCUCGGUAAUACGUAGGAGGCAAGCGUUAUCCGGAUUCAUUGGGCGUAAAGUGUGCGUAGGCGGUUUAAUAAGUCUUGACUUAAAUACUAUGGCUUAACCAUAGGAAAAGUUAGGAUACUAUUUUACUUGAGGAUUGUUAGGGAUGUCGGAACAGCUAGUGUAGCAGUGAAAUGCGUUGAUAUUAGCUGGAACACCAAAGGCGAAGGCAGACAUCUGGGAUUUUCCUGACGCUGAGGCACGAAAGCUAGGGUAGCGAAACAGAUUAGAUACCUGUGUAGUCCUAGCCGUAAACUAUGUCCGCUAGCUCUUGGCAUUUGCCAGGGGUGUAAGCUAACGCGUUAAGCAUUCCGCCUGGGGAGUACGGCCGCAAGGCUAAAACUCAAAGGAAUUGACGG
Molecule: ribosomal RNA, 738 nt
Filed under: uncultured bacterium
Lineage: Bacteria
Description: bacterial SSU rRNA
Rfam family: Bacterial small subunit ribosomal RNA
Source: RNAcentral